This 69-nucleotide transfer RNA is filed under the name Rhinophylla pumilio. RNAcentral's name for it is "transfer RNA-Lys". Lineage: Eukaryota; Metazoa; Chordata; Mammalia; Chiroptera; Phyllostomidae. The record is from RNAcentral.
CAUUAAGAAGCUACCUUAGCGUUAACCUUUUAAGUUAAAGAUAGGAAGGGACAAACCUUCCCUUAAUGA